GCUUCUCUUUGCUGCAGAUGCUAUGUGGAGGGCAUUGGGUGUCUUCCUUGGCUUCCAGCUGCUGUCAGGUCUUUGCAGUGGGGUGACGGUGACGCAGAAGGAGAAGUUUAUAGCCAUCCAGAAUGGCAGCAAGGCAAGAAUCCCAUGUGAACAUGAUGACGAAUCUUACAUGACUGUCCUGUGGUAUCAGCAGAAGGCUGCAGAAAGGCAGCUGCAGUUAGUAGCCACCUCUAUAUAUGGGAAUUCAGAAGAAAUGGAAAAAAAGUUCCAAAAUAGAUACAGUGUGGCACGGCCAGGAAAGCUGAACACCUCACUGACAAUCAAACUGGGGAUGGCUGAAGACACUGCAGUGUAUUUCUGUGCAGCUAGCAAAGCACAGUGA
This is a non-coding RNA of Mauremys mutica (yellowpond turtle), 382 nucleotides long. NCBI's taxonomy places the organism in Eukaryota, Metazoa, Chordata, Testudines, Geoemydidae. The record is from the annotation of a RefSeq genome assembly.